AGCGCAGGCGGGAAGACAAGUUGGAAGUGAAAUCUAUGGGCUCAACCCAUAAACUGCUUUCAAAGCUGUUUUUCUUGAGUAGUGCAGAGGUAGGCGGAAUUCCCGGUGUAGCGGUGGAAUGCGUAGAUAUCGGGAGGAACACCAGUGGCGAAGGCGGCCUACUGGGCACCAACUGACGCUGAGGCUUGAAGGUGUGGGUAGCAAACA
This 207-nucleotide ribosomal RNA is filed under the name uncultured bacterium. RNAcentral's name for it is "partial 16S ribosomal RNA". It matches the Rfam family "Bacterial small subunit ribosomal RNA", at positions 568 to 774 of the family's 1533-position model. The record is from RNAcentral.